This 440-nucleotide ribosomal RNA is filed under the name uncultured bacterium. RNAcentral's name for it is "partial 16S ribosomal RNA". It matches the Rfam family "Bacterial small subunit ribosomal RNA", at positions 338 to 795 of the family's 1533-position model. The record is from RNAcentral.
CCUACGGGAGGCAGCAGUGGGGAAUAUUGGACAAUGGGGGAGACCCUGAUGCAGCGACGCCGCGUGAGGGAAGAAGGAAUUCGGGAUGGAAAGCUCCAUUAGCAGGGAAGAAAAGGACGGUACGUGAGUAAGAAUCCCCGGCUAACGACGUUCCAGCAGCCGCGGUAAUACGGAGGGGGCAAGCGUUAUCCGGAUUUACUGGGUGUAAAGGGAGCGUAGACGGCAGUGCAAGUCUGGAGUGAAAGGCGGGGGCUCAACCCCCGGACUGCUCUUGAAACUGUAAGGCUGGAGUGCAGGAGAGGUAAGUGGAAUUCGUGGUGUAGCGGUGAAAUGCGUAGAUAUUAGGAGGAACACCAGUGGCGAAGGCAGCUUACUGGACUGUAACUGACGUUGAGGCUCGAAAGCGUGGGUAGCAAACAGGAUUAGAUACCCGAGUAGUC